This 1225-nucleotide ribosomal RNA is filed under the name uncultured bacterium. RNAcentral describes it as "partial 16S ribosomal RNA". It matches the Rfam family "Bacterial small subunit ribosomal RNA", at positions 214 to 1441 of the family's 1533-position model. The record is from RNAcentral.
GGUGGUUAAAGAUGGGCUCGCGUGACAUUAGCUGGAUGGUAGGGUAACGGCCUACCAUGGCUACGAUGUCUAGGGGUUCUGAGAGGAAGAUCCCCCACACUGGAACUGAGACACGGUCCAGACUCCUACGGGAGGCAGCAGUGAGGAAUAUUGGACAAUGGAUGGAAAUCUGAUCCAGCCAUGCCGCGUGCAGGAAGACGGCCCUAUGGGUUGUAAACUGCUUUUAUACGGGAGCAAUAAGGUCUACGAGUAGGCCGAUGAGAGUACCGUAGGAAUAAGCACCGGCUAACUCCGUGCCAGCAGCCGCGGUAAUACGGAGGGUGCAAGCGUUAUCCGGAUUUAUUGGGUUUAAAGGGUGCGUAGGCGGUCUAUUAAGUCAGCGGUGAAAGUUUUCAGCUUAACUGGAAAAAUGCCGUUGAUACUGAUAGGCUAGAAUAUGGUUGCUGUGGGUGGAAUGUGUGGUGUAGCGGUGAAAUGCUUAGAUAUCACACAGAACACCGAUUGCGAAGGCAGCUUACUAAGCCAUUACUGACGCUGAGGCACGAAAGCGUGGGGAUCGAACAGGAUUAGAUACCCUGGUAGUCCACGCCGUAAACGAUGAUCACUCGCUGUUUGCGAUAUACAGCAAGCGGCUGAGCGAAAGCAUUAAGUGAUCCACCUGGGGAGUACGAUCGCAAGGUUGAAACUCAAAGGAAUUGACGGGGGCCCGCACAAGCGGAGGAACAUGUGGUUUAAUUCGAUGAUACGCGAGGAACCUUACCUGGGCUUGACAUCCUGUGACAGCUAUGGAAAGAGGUGUGCCUUUCGGGGAGCCGUAAGACAGGUGCUGCAUGGCUGUCGUCAGCUCGUGUCGUGAGAUGUUGGGUUAAGUCCCGCAACGAGCGCAACCCUUGUCUUUAGUUGCCAGCAUUAAGUUGGGCACUCUAAAGAGACUGCCGGUGUCAAACCGGAGGAAGGUGGGGAUGACGUCAAAUCAUCAUGCCCCUUAUGUCUUGGGCUACACACGUACUACAAUGGCCUGAACAGAGGGAAGCAAAACUGCGAAGUUAAGCGAAUCCCUUAAAACAGGUCCCAGUUCGGAUUGUAGGCUGCAACUCGCCUACAUGAAGUUGGAAUCGCUAGUAAUCGCAGGUCAGCAUACUGCGGUGAAUACGUUCCCGGGCCUUGUACACACCGCCCGUCACACCACGAAAGUCGGCAACACCCGAAGACGUUGACUUAACCG